Mesocricetus auratus (golden hamster) is the source of this 79-nucleotide non-coding RNA. The record is from Rfam. NCBI's taxonomy places the organism in Eukaryota, Metazoa, Chordata, Mammalia, Rodentia, Cricetidae.
CGGUCUAUGAUGACAAACGAACGUCAUGAAGAGAGGUGAUGACUUAAAUAUCAUGCUGAGGUUGUGGUUGCUGAGACUC